AGCGGCGCGCCCGAUCCCCGAGCUCCAGCCGGCCGGGUGCGGCCAAGGGCGAGCGGGGCUUCCCCGCAUCCCCGGCCAGCGAGCAGCCGCCGGCCCCCUCCCCACGGUUCCGACCCGGCUACACACCGAUUAUGUCAAGGAGGCUGGUUUCAGGAAGUCUCAGUCCAGCGCACAAGCAGAGGAGAUUCGUCAGACCUGACCCUUUCCUGCAAACAGUUCUGGUGUCGACGAAGCGGUGUUUUCUGCUUGAAUAAAAC
Long non-coding RNA from Mauremys reevesii (Reeves's turtle), 257 nucleotides. RefSeq lists it as uncharacterized. NCBI's taxonomy places the organism in Eukaryota, Metazoa, Chordata, Testudines, Geoemydidae. The transcript is spliced from 3 exons. The record is from RefSeq and is a predicted model, not a curated record.